CCUACGGGAGGCAGCAGUGAGGAAUAUUGGUCAAUGGCCGGAAGGCUGAACCAGCCAAGCCGCGUGAGGGACGACGGUGCUAUGCAUUGUAAACUUCUUUUGUCAAGGGACAAAAUCAGCCUCAAGAGCCUUACCGCGGGUACUUGAAGAAAAAGCAUCGGCUAACUCCGUGCCAGCAGCCGCGGUAAUACGGAGGAUGCGAGCGUUAUCCGGAUUUAUUGGGUUUAAAGGGUGCGUAGGCGGGAUAUUAAGUCAGCGGUAAAAGACAGGGGCUCAACCCCGGCGAGCCGUUGAAACUGGCUGUCUUGAGAGGGCGAGAGGUAUGCGGAAUGCGCGGUGUAGCGGUGAAAUGCUUAGCUAUUGCGCAGAACUCCGAUUGCGAAGGCAGCAUACCGGCGGCGAUCUGACGCUGAGGCACGAAAGCGUGGGUAUCGAACAGGAUUAGAUACCCCAGUAGUC
RNAcentral lists this ribosomal RNA (459 nucleotides) under uncultured bacterium. Its description in RNAcentral is "partial 16S ribosomal RNA". It matches the Rfam family "Bacterial small subunit ribosomal RNA", at positions 338 to 795 of the family's 1533-position model. The record is from RNAcentral.